Molecule: ribosomal RNA, 822 nt
Filed under: Synechococcus sp. ECS-18
Lineage: Bacteria; Bacillati; Cyanobacteriota; Cyanophyceae; Synechococcales; Synechococcaceae
Description: bacterial SSU rRNA
Rfam family: Bacterial small subunit ribosomal RNA
Source: RNAcentral
GCGAGCCUGACGGAGCACGCCGCGUGAGGGAUGAAGGCCUCUGGGCUGUAAACCUCUUUUCUCAAGGAAGAAGAUCUGACGGUACUUGAGGAAUAAGCCACGGCUAAUUCCGUGCCAGCAGCCGCGGUAAUACGGGAGUGGCAAGCGUUAUCCGGAAUUAUUGGGCGUAAAGCGUCCGCAGGCGGCCCUUCAAGUCUGCUGUUAAAAAGUGGAGCUUAACUCCAUCAUGGCAGUGGAAACUGUUGGGCUUGAGUGUGGUAGGGGCAGAGGGAAUUCCCGGUGUAGCGGUGAAAUGCGUAGAUAUCGGGAAGAACACCAGUGGCGAAGGCGCUCUGCUGGGCCAUAACUGACGCUCAUGGACGAAAGCCAGGGGAGCGAAAGGGAUUAGAUACCCCUGUAGUCCUGGCCGUAAACGAUGAACACUAGGUGUCGGGGGAAUCGACCCCCUCGGUGUCGUAGCCAACGCGUUAAGUGUUCCGCCUGGGGAGUACGCACGCAAGUGUGAAACUCAAAGGAAUUGACGGGGGCCCGCACAAGCGGUGGAGUAUGUGGUUUAAUUCGAUGCAACGCGAAGAACCUUACCAGGAUUUGACAUCCUGCGAACCUCUUGGAAACGAGAGGGUGCCUUCGGGAACGCAGUGACAGGUGGUGCAUGGCUGUCGUCAGCUCGUGUCGUGAGAUGUUGGGUUAAGUCCCGCAACGAGCGCAACCCACGUCUUUAGUUGCCAGCAUUUAGUUGGGCACUCUAGAGAGACCGCCGGUGAUAAACCGGAGGAAGGUGUGGAUGACGUCAAGUCAUCAUGCCCCUUACAUCCUGGGCUA